This 1455-nucleotide ribosomal RNA is filed under the name uncultured organism. RNAcentral describes it as "SSU rRNA". It matches the Rfam family "Bacterial small subunit ribosomal RNA". The record is from RNAcentral.
GAUGAACCCUUUCUACAGGCUUAACACAUGCAAGUCGAGGGGCAGCAUUUUAGUUUGCUUGCAAACUAAAGAUGGCGACCGGCGCACGGGUGAGUAACACGUAUCCAACCUGCCGAUAACUCGGGGAUAGCCUUUCGAAAGAAAGAUUAAUAUCCGAUAGUAUAUUAAAACCGCAUGGUUUUACUAUUAAAGAAUUUCGGUUAUCGAUGGGGAUGCGUUCCAUUAGUUUGUUGGCGGGGUAACGGCCCACCAAGACUACGAUGGAUAGGGGUUCUGAGAGGAAGGUCCCCCACAUUGGAACUGAGACACGGUCCAAACUCCUACGGGAGGCAGCAGUGAGGAAUAUUGGUCAAUGGACGAGAGUCUGAACCAGCCAAGUAGCGUGAAGGAUGACUGCCCUAUGGGUUGUAAACUUCUUUUAUAUGGGAAUAAAGUAUUCCACGUGUGGGAUUUUGUAUGUACCAUAUGAAUAAGGAUCGGCUAACUCCGUGCCAGCAGCCGCGGUAAUACGGAGGAUCCGAGCGUUAUCCGGAUUUAUUGGGUUUAAAGGGAGCGUAGGUGGAUUGUUAAGUCAGUUGUGAAAGUUUGCGGCUCAACCGUAAAAUUGCAGUUGAAACUGGCAGUCUUGAGUACAGUAGAGGUGGGCGGAAUUCGUGGUGUAGCGGUGAAAUGCUUAGAUAUCACGAAGAACUCCGAUUGCGAAGGCAGCUCACUAGACUGCAACUGACACUGAUGCUCGAAAGUGUGGGUAUCAAACAGGAUUAGAUACCCUGGUAGUCCACACAGUAAACGAUGAAUACUCGCUGUUUGCGAUAUACAGUAAGCGGCCAAGCGAAAGCAUUAAGUAUUCCACCUGGGGAGUACGCCGGCAACGGUGAAACUCAAAGGAAUUGACGGGGGCCCGCACAAGCGGAGGAACAUGUGGUUUAAUUCGAUGAUACGCGAGGAACCUUACCCGGGCUUAAAUUGCAUUUGAAUAAUCUGGAAACAGGUUAGCCGCAAGGCAAAUGUGAAGGUGCUGCAUGGUUGUCGUCAGCUCGUGCCGUGAGGUGUCGGCUUAAGUGCCAUAACGAGCGCAACCCUUAUCUUUAGUUACUAACAGGUUAUGCUGAGGACUCUAGAGAGACUGCCGUCGUAAGAUGUGAGGAAGGUGGGGAUGACGUCAAAUCAGCACGGCCCUUACGUCCGGGGCUACACACGUGUUACAAUGGGGGGUACAGAAGGCAGCUACCUGGCGACAGGAUGCUAAUCCCAAAAACCUCUCUCAGUUCGGAUCGAAGUCUGCAACCCGACUUCGUGAAGCUGGAUUCGCUAGUAAUCGCGCAUCAGCCAUGGCGCGGUGAAUACGUUCCCGGGCCUUGUACACACCGCCCGUCAAGCCAUGAAAGCCGGGGGUACCUGAAGUACGUAACCGCAAGGAGCGUCCUAGGGUAAAACUGGUAAUUGGGGCUAAGA